This 1384-nucleotide ribosomal RNA is filed under the name Odorrana graminea (large odorous frog). RNAcentral describes it as "partial 16S ribosomal RNA". It matches the Rfam family "Bacterial large subunit ribosomal RNA", at positions 150 to 2572 of the family's 2925-position model. The record is from RNAcentral. Lineage: Eukaryota; Metazoa; Chordata; Amphibia; Anura; Ranidae.
AGCCUCAAAUCUAGCCCGUAUAAUCCGCAUGAAGCCCCUAAACUACUGCAAAAAAUAAAUCAUUUUAACAUUUUAGUAUAGGUGAUAGAAAAAUUACUAAGCGCCUCAGAUAUAGUACCGUAAGGGAAAUAUGAAAUAGAAAUGAAACAACACUACAGCCACAAACAGCAGAGAUACUACCUCGUACCUUUUGCAUCAUGGUCUAGCCAGUCCACCCAAGCAAAAUGAAAAUUUUAGUCUGACCCCCCGAAACUAAGCGAGCUACUUCAAAACAGCUUUAAGAGCCAACCCUUCUCUGUUGCAAAAGAGUGGGAAGAUUUUCAAGUAGAGGUGACAAGCCUACCGAGCUUAGAGAUAGCUGGUUGUUCAAGAAAAGAGUUUUAGCUCUGCCUUAAGCUUUUAUAUUAUGUCAAACAAACCCCCAAGCUUAAGAGUUAUCAAAUUAGGCACAGCUUAUUUGAAACAGGAUACAACCUCCGCCACUGGGUAAAACGGGCAAUAAAAAUAAAGUGGGCCCAAAAGCAGCCACCUUUAAGAAAGCGUCAAAGCUUAACUAUUAUAACCCCUAAUUCCUAAAACAUCCACUAACCCCUAAUCCCUACUGAACCCCUUUAUAUUAAUAUAAAAACGACUAUGCUAGAACUAGUAACAAGAACUUGCCAUUCUCCACAAUGUAAGUAUAGACCAAAACGGACACUCCAUUGGUAAUCAACGUAAAUGCAAAACCAUAACAACACAAAACCAGAAAACCUUACGGCCACCACACGUUACCCUAACACUAGAACAUUAUAGGAAAGAUUAAAAGAAAGAGAAGGAACUCGGCAAAUUUUAGCCCCGCCUGUUUACCAAAAACAUCGCCUCCUGACUAAGCAUAAGAGGGUCCAGCCUGCCCAGUGACAACAUUCAACGGCCGCGGUAUUCUGACCGUGCGAAGGUAGCAUAAUCACUUGUUCUCUAAAUAAGGACUAGUAUCAACGGCAUCACGAGGGCUACACUGUCUCCUUUCUCCAAUCAGUGAAACUGAUCCCCCCGUGAAGAAGCGGGGAUUCAAUUAUAAGACGAGAAGACCCCAUGGAGCUUUAAACCCAACAUACACCCACCCCGCUAAUACAUCAACUAAGCCUCGAGGGCCUGUACGUCGGUUUUAGGCUGGGGGGCACGGAGCAAAAUCAAACCUCCACAACAAAUGGGCUAAAACCCUUAUCCGCGAUUUACAAAUCCAAGAAUCAUCAUAAUGAUGUUUAAUGACCCGAUAAUUCGAUCAAUGAACCAAGUUACCCUGGGGAUAACAGCGCAAUCCACUCCAAGAGCCCAUAUCGACAAGUGGGUUUACGACCUCGAUGUUGGAUCAGGGUAUCCCAGUGGUGCAGCCGCUACUAAAGGU